CCAGACUCCUACGGGAGGCAGCAGUGAGGAAUAUUGGUCAAUGGGCGGGAGCCUGAACCAGCCAAGUCGCGUGAGGGAUGACGGCCCUACAGGUUGUAAACCUCUUUUGCCGGGGAGCAAAGAGCGGGACGCGUCCCGCCUCGAGAGUACCCGGAGAAAAAGCAUCGGCUAACUCCGUGCCAGCAGCCGCGGUAAUACGGAGGAUGCGAGCGUUAUCCGGAUUUAUUGGGUUUAAAGGGUGCGCAGGCGGAGGCGCAAGACAGGGUUAAAAUGGGGGGCCUCACCCUCUCCCCGCCGUUGAAACUGCGUUUCUUGAGUGGGCGAGAAGUACGCGGAAUGCGUGGUGUAGCGGUGAAAUGCAUAGAUAUCACGCAGAACCCCGAUUGCGAAGGCAGCCUUCCGGCGCCCUACUGACGCUGAGGCACGAAAGUGCGGGGAUCGAACAGGAUUAGAUACCCUUGUA
Molecule: ribosomal RNA, 463 nt
Filed under: uncultured bacterium
Lineage: Bacteria
Description: bacterial SSU rRNA
Rfam family: Bacterial small subunit ribosomal RNA
Source: RNAcentral